This 253-nucleotide ribosomal RNA is filed under the name uncultured bacterium. RNAcentral's name for it is "partial 16S ribosomal RNA". It matches the Rfam family "Bacterial small subunit ribosomal RNA", at positions 524 to 776 of the family's 1533-position model. The record is from RNAcentral.
UACGAAGGGGGCAAGCGUUGUUCGGAUUUACUGGGCGUAAAGGGCGCGUAGGCGGUCUUACAAGUCAGGCGUGAAAGUCCCGGGCUUAACCUGGGGACUGCGUUUGAUACUGUAAGGCUUGAAUGUGAGAGAGGAUGGCGGAAUUCCCAGUGUAGAGGUGAAAUUCGUAGAUAUUGGGAAGAACACCAGUGGCGAAGGCGGCCAUCUGGCUCAUGAUUGACGCUGAGGCGCGAAAGCGUGGGGAGCAAACAGG